GCCUAGCCGUAAACUUUUAAUUACACCCCCAUCGCCAGGGAACUACGAGCAAAGCUUAAAACCCAAAGGACUUGACGGUACCCCAUAUCCACCUAGAGGAGCCUGUCCUAUAAUCGAUAACCCCCGCUUAACCUCACCAUUUUUAGCUUAUCAGCCUGUAUACCUCCGUCGUCAGCUUACCUCGUGAGCGUAAAUUAGUGAGCUCGAUGCCCUUACGCCAAUACGUCAGGUCAAGGUGCAGCAUAUAAAAUGGGAAGAGAUGGGCUACACUAUCUACAUUAGAUUAAACGAAAAACUAUUUAUGAAACCUAGUUAGAAGGCGGAUUUAGAAGUAAAGGAAGACCAAUAUGCUUCCUUUAACUAGGCACUGGGGUGUGUACACACCGCCCGUCACCCUCUUCAAAGCUUUCAUUCUAGUUUUUAACACAACUAAGCACCAUAGAAGAGGCAAGUCGUAACAUGGUAAGUAUACCGGAAGGUGUGCUUGGAAA
Molecule: ribosomal RNA, 491 nt
Filed under: Dendropsophus anceps (Estrella treefrog)
Lineage: Eukaryota; Metazoa; Chordata; Amphibia; Anura; Hylidae
Description: partial small subunit ribosomal RNA
Rfam family: Bacterial small subunit ribosomal RNA
Source: RNAcentral